UUUUCUUUAAAAAAUUAAACAAUGAAGCAUUGACAUGCACAAAAAGGAUGUUAUCUGAUAUAUAAUUUGACAUUAAUAAAUAUAAAUGUAUAUAUAUGGAUGUGGAUAUGAGAUGAGGAUGAGCCGGCGCAGUGAGAGGAUCGACCCACUCGCACCUGUUGACCGGAUUCCGGAUUUUCCAGGUUAAAAUGUAAAAUGGCGACAAACCGGAAAUGAAACAGGUGGACGUUCUCAACCCUGACGGUUUACUCCGGUGAUUUGUUUUUGUGUGAAGAAAGUGGAGUUUGUUUUCUUUUUCCUGCCGGAUAAACCCGCAAACAGAGGCAGUAAGUCAGCGCUGUGAGCUCUGCUCCUCUUCAGUGGGGCUGUUUUAUAAACUCUGCUUGGACGGGAAUGAGAAACUCCGCAUAAACAAGCGGAGCGACUUUCUUCACCACACGGUAACUUCACUUUAAAUAUGAUCUCUGAGCUGAACACGGUGUCGGGACACGAACACCACAAGACUGAAGUGUGUCAUGCAAAGUGUUCAGACUUCAGGUUUUGUAUAUAAGGAAGUCCCGUGCUUACAUUUGAACCCUUACAGUGGUGUGUGUGUGUGUGUGUGUGUGUGUGUGACAGUGUUGUCUCUCUGUGUGUGUGACAGUGUUGUCUCUGUGUGUGUGUGUGUGUGACAGUGUUGUCUCUCUCUGUGUGUGUGUGUGUGUGUGUGUGUGUGUGUGUGUGUGACAGUGUUGUCUCUUGUUGUCUCUGUGUGUGUGUGUGUGACAGUGGUGUGUGUGUGUGACAGUGUUGUCUCUGUGUGUGUGACAGUGUUGUGUCUCUCUCUCUCUGUGUGUGUGUGUGUGUGUGUGUGUGUGUGACAGUGUUGUCUCUCUCUGUGUGUGUGUGUGUGUGUGUGUGUGUGUGACAGUGUUUGUUUGUUGUCUCUGUGUGUGUGUGUGUGACAGUGUUGUCUGUGUCUGUGUGUGUGUGUGUGUGACAGUGUUUGUUGUCUCUGUGUGUGUGUGUGUGACAGUGUUGUCUCUGUGUGUGUGUGACAGUGUUGUGUGUGUGUGUGUGUGUGAGACAGUGUUGUCUGUGUGUGUGACAGUGUUGUCUGUGUGUGUGACAGUGGUGUGUGUGUGUGUGUGUCUCUGUGUGUGUGACAGUGGUGUCUGUGUGUGUGUGUCUGUGUGUGUGUGACAGUGGUGUCUCUGUGUGUGUGUGUGUCUGUGUGUGUGUGACAGUGUUGUUUCUGUGUGUGUGACAGUGUUGUCUCUGUGUGUGUGUGUGUGACAUUGUUGUCUCUGUGUGUGUGUGUGUGUGUGACAGUGUUGUCUCUGUGUGUGUGUGUGUGUGACAGUGUUGUCUCUGUGUGUGUGACAGUGUUGUCUCUGUGUGUGUGUGACAGUGUUGUCUCUGUGUGUGUGACAGUGUUGUCUGUGUCUGUGUGUGUGUGUGUGACAGUGUUGUCUGUGUGUGUGUGUGUGUGUGACAGUGUUGUCUCUGUGUGUGUGUGUGUGUGUGACAGUGUUGUCUCUGUGUGUGUGUGUGUGUGUGUGUGUGACAGUGGUGUCUGUGUGUGUGUGUGUCUGUGUGUGUGUGACAGUGUUGUCUCUGUGUGUGUGACAGUGUUGUCUCUGUGUGUGUGUGUGUGUGAGACAGUGUUGUCUCUGUGUGUGUGUGUGUGUGUGACAGUGUUGUCUCUGUGUGUGUGUGUGUGACAGUGUUGUCUCUGUGUGUGUGUGUGUGACAGUGUUGUCUGUGUCUGUGUGUGUGUGUGUGUGACAGUGUUGUCUCUGUGUGUGUGUGUGUGUGUGACAGUGGUGUGUGUGUGUGUGUGUGUGUGUGUGACAGUGUUGUCUGUGUGUGUGUGUGUGACAGUGUUGUCUGUGUGUGUGUGUGACAGUGGUGCCUGUGUGUGUGUGACAGUGUUGUCUCUCUGUGUGUGUGUGACAGUGUUGUCUCUGUGUGUGUGUGUGUGUGUGUGACAGUGUUGUCUCUGUGUGUGUGUGUGUGUGUGUGACAGUGUUGUCUCUGUGUGUGUGACAGUGUUGUCUCUGUGUGUGUGACAGUGUUGUCUCUGUGUGUGUGUGUGUGUGUGUGUGUGUGUGUGUGUGUGUGUGUGUGACAGUGGUGCCUGUGUGUGUGUGACAGUGGUGCCUGUGUGUGUGUGACAGUGUUGUCUCUGUGUGUGUGUGUGACAGUGUUGUCUCUGUGUGUGUGUGUGUGUGUGUGUGUGUGACAGUGGUGCCUGUGUGUGUGUGACAGUGUUGUCUGUGUGUGUGUGUGUGUGACAGUGUUGUCUCUGUGUGUGUGACAGUGUUGUCUCUGUGUGUGUGUGUGUGUGUGUGUGACAGUGUUGUCUCUGUGUGUGUGACAGUGUUGUCUCUGUGUGUGUGACAGUGGUGUCUGUGUGUGUGUGUGUGUGUGACUGGUGCCUCUGUGUGUGUGUGACAGUGGUGCCUGUGUGUGUGUGUGUGUGUGACAGUGUUGUCUCUGUGGGUGACAGUGUUGUCUCUGUGUGUGACAGUGUUGUCUCUGUGGGUGACAGUGUUGUCUCUGUGUGAGACAGUGUUGUCUGCGCGCGCGUGUGUGACAGUGUUGUCUCUGUGUGUGUGUGAGACAGUGUUGAAUCAGGACUGCAGUGUUCAGGCUUAUUCUUACAGGCUUGAAUUAAUUAACCGUAUUCAUUUAACCCAUACGGUAUAGAAGUAACGCUUAUGUAACUGCUGUGUAGUUAACCUGUACAAUGUUGAUUCAUGUAUGUGUGUG
This is a long non-coding RNA of Ictalurus punctatus (channel catfish), 2754 nucleotides long. The record is from Ensembl. Lineage: Eukaryota; Metazoa; Chordata; Actinopteri; Siluriformes; Ictaluridae.